RNAcentral lists this ribosomal RNA (254 nucleotides) under uncultured bacterium. Its description in RNAcentral is "partial 16S ribosomal RNA". It matches the Rfam family "Bacterial small subunit ribosomal RNA", at positions 524 to 776 of the family's 1533-position model. The record is from RNAcentral.
UACGUAGGGUGCGAGCGUUAAUCGGAAUUACUGGGCGUAAAGCGUGCGCAGGCGGUUAUUUAAGUCAGGUGUGAAAGCCCUGGGCUUAACCUAGGAAUUGCGCUUGAGACUGGAUAGCUUGGAGUGCGGCAGAGGGAGGUGGAAUUCCACGUGUAGCAGUGAAAUGCGUAGAGAUGUGGAGGAACACCGAUGGCGUAGGCAGCCUCCUGGGCCAGCACUGACGCUCAUGCACGAAAGCGUGGGGAGCAAACAGG